RNAcentral lists this ribosomal RNA (253 nucleotides) under uncultured bacterium. RNAcentral's name for it is "partial 16S ribosomal RNA". It matches the Rfam family "Bacterial small subunit ribosomal RNA", at positions 524 to 776 of the family's 1533-position model. The record is from RNAcentral.
GACGUAGGGUGCAAGCGUUGUCCGGAUUUAUUGGGCGUAAAGAGCUCGUAGGCGGUUUGUCGCGUCUGCUGUGAAAACUCGGGGCUCAACUCCGAGCUUGCAGUGGGUACGGGCAGACUAGAGUGCGGUAGGGGAGACUGGAAUUCCUGGUGUAGCGGUGGAAUGCGCAGAUAUCAGGAGGAACACCGGUGGCGAAGGCGGGUCUCUGGGCCGUAACUGACGCUGAGGAGCGAAAGCAUGGGGAGCGAACAGG